GACGAACGCUGGCGGCGUGCUUAACACAUGCAAGUCGAACGAGAAUCUACUGAAAGAGUUUUCGGACAAUGGAAGUAGAGGAAAGUGGCGGACGGGUGAGUAACGCGUGAGGAACCUGCCUUGAAGAGGGGGACAACAGUUGGAAACGACUGCUAAUACCGCAUGACGGAUAGGGGCCGUAUGAUCUUUAUGACAAAGAUUCUAACUUCAAGAUGGCCUCGCGUCUGAUUAGCUGGUUGGCGGGGUAACGGCGCACCAAGGCGACGAUCAGUAGACGGACUGAGAGGUUGAACGGCCACAUUGGGACUGAGAUACGGCCCAGACUCCUACGGGAGGCAGCAGUGGGGAAUAUUGGGCAAUGGGCGCAAGCCUGACCCAGCAACGCCGCGUGAAGGAAGAAGGCUUUCGGGUUGUAAACUUCUUUUAAGAGGGAAGAGCAGAAGACGGUACCUCUAGAAUAAGCCACGGCUAACUACGUGCCAGCAGCCGCAGUAA
This 495-nucleotide ribosomal RNA is filed under the name uncultured bacterium. Its description in RNAcentral is "partial 16S ribosomal RNA". It matches the Rfam family "Bacterial small subunit ribosomal RNA", at positions 28 to 523 of the family's 1533-position model. The record is from RNAcentral.